This 654-nucleotide long non-coding RNA is filed under the name Homo sapiens (human). RNAcentral describes it as "novel transcript". Lineage: Eukaryota; Metazoa; Chordata; Mammalia; Primates; Hominidae. The record is from RNAcentral.
AGUGGCUGUGCCUGUGGCCUUUGACGCUCAUCCUGACUCCUGACUGAUGAAUUAUUUGGUCGACUGAGGCAGAAUCACCUUUACUGGAGCAUAAUCUGUUGGAGGCAGCAUCUCCUGAAGUCUCCAUGAGUUGCUGGAAUGAAGAAAUGUGUCAUAUGUGAACCAAAACACAUGUAAAAAUUGUUGACAAUAGCACCAUUUGUAAAAGACUAAAACUGGAAACCACCAAAUGAUCAGCAACAGAGAAUAAAAAAUUAUGGCUUAUUUCUACAAUGGAUUGCUAUGCUGCAGUAAGAAUGAAUGAACAGCAGCUACACACAACCGGUAUGGAUGAAUCUCAUGAACACAAUGUGAAGGGAAAGAAGGCAGAAACAUACUUAUCACACCCUCCAUUUAUAUAAAACUCAGAGACAAAACAAAUUUAUGGUGUUAGGAGUCAGGUUCCUUUGGGGAAGAGAGAGGGAGUAGUACCUGAAUGGAGGGGGCAUGGAGGGGGCUUCGGGCAUGCUGGUAAGAUUUUUGUUUUGUUUUUAAUCUGAGUGAUAUAGGUGGUAGUUACUUUUUGAUGUUACAUCGAGCUGUACACUUAUGAUCUGUUCAUGUUUCUGUAUGUAUUUUAUACUUCAAUAAAACAUUAGUGAUUUGUGAAUACUC